UACAGAGGUCCCGAGCGUUGUUCGGAUUCACUGGGCGUAAAGGGCGCGUAGGUGGCUUGGUAAGUUUGAUGUGAAAUCUCCGGGCUUAACCCGGAAAAUGCAUUGAAUACUAUUUGAGCUUGAGGAUUGGAGGGGGGACUGGAAUUCUUGGUGUAGCAGUGAAAUGCGUAGAUAUCAAGAGGAACACCAGUGGCGAAGGCGAGUCCCUGGACAACACCUGACACUGAGGCGCGAAAGCUAGGGGAGCAAACAGG
This 254-nucleotide ribosomal RNA is filed under the name uncultured bacterium. RNAcentral's name for it is "partial 16S ribosomal RNA". It matches the Rfam family "Bacterial small subunit ribosomal RNA", at positions 524 to 776 of the family's 1533-position model. The record is from RNAcentral.